This 2455-nucleotide long non-coding RNA is filed under the name Nothobranchius furzeri (turquoise killifish). RNAcentral describes it as "lncRNA (ENSNFUG00015017754.1)". Lineage: Eukaryota; Metazoa; Chordata; Actinopteri; Cyprinodontiformes; Nothobranchiidae. The record is from RNAcentral.
AUGGAGGGGCACCUGAAGGAGGGAAAGCUAUCAGAGGAGAAAAUACGAUCAUUAGCAGAAAAGCUGGAAAAGGACAUGGUGGAGUACCAAAGGAGGCUUCAGGAAACUGUUGAUGAGAAAAUCAGGGCGGACAGAGAGAAACAGGAGGCACAGGAGCAGAUUAGCAAACUUCACUCAGAGUUGGUACGGGCACAGUCUAGUAACGCAAAUCUUCACCAAGAGAGUCGGCUGGUCUUGAGAAAUGUUCAUCUUUGGAUCACUGAGCAAAGGACUUCCUGUGAGAUCCUGCUGACCCAAAUGAAGGCCCAAAACCAGAAGCUGCUUAUUGAUGCUGCAGAAAUAACACACCUCCGGGAGGCUAAUGACACGUUGAAGGCGGAGAUGGGGAAACUAAAACAAGCGCUGGAUGAGAAGGAGCGAGACCCGGAAUGCUUCCAGGCUCAGAUCCGAGACCGGAGCAUGGGAGAAGACGGGAGAAAAAUGUCCUCUCACCGCAUUGGAAAGAAAAGUUGUGUUGCUCGAAACCUCAACAAAAUCGAGGACGUUCAUUCCAGACUGCAAAGCAACCAAGAGGCCAUCGGCAUGCUAAAUCAACAAUUAUACACCCUCUGCAGGGAGCACAGGCGGUUGCAUCAGCUGUAUGACCGUGCACAGACAACCAGGGCAACUUCCACUCACCCACCUCCCCUUCUCUCUUAGUACUCUCCCAUCUUCCAUCUCUGGUUCCUUAUCCCUGGAUCCUCCAAGGCCAGUGGUGUGACACAUGGAUGGGACUCCACCUCAGACUAAGUCUUCUCGGGGGAGAUCACAUGAUUUGCAUUGAUUCUAUCUUAUUUUUGCAAGUAGUUUUGACUCUUGAGGCGUCCUCUUUAGAAUACCAUCAGUUCGAUCAGAAUGAGAAUUAAUGGAUUUCCUGCAGGAAACUUUGUUCAGUUGUUCAACUCUUCUUCUACUGCCAUUCCAGCUGUUUGGCUGUUUAGUUUUAUCAUUAGCAAUGCCUGCUGAUUAUAGCAGUUUUUUUUUAUCAGAUGCCACCACCUAGAGGCAGAAAAAUGGCUUAGGACUUUUAAGACCCUCCCCCUGCUUCGUUGAUACAGCUGGAAGCAACGCCUCUCUUUGGUGAACUUUUACAAUCAGUAUUCUCGUGUUAAGCUGUUUAUUCAAAGAGUUGACAGAAUUGUCAAUGAGAAAUGUUGCCUACUCUGCAUCGGUUCAACAUUGAGGUGAACGCGGUGAUCCUUCCGCCGUUGAAAAGCAGGUCAAAGGUAAAGUCUUUGCAGGUUUUUGAGACACUUUUGAUGAGUUUGGUUAGCGGGAACUGGGCAGUCGUUGAAUUUCCAUUUGUUGUGGCUGAGAAGGUGGUGGCUGUUGUUCCGUGAUUCGCCGUGUCUUCACAGCUUUGGAAACAAAUAGAAAAUAUCAAUCUAGUAAUUCCUUAAGCUUGUGAUUGACAUGUGAGCGGCUGUAGAGCGCUACUAGCCAAGAAACGGUCAGCUCUAUGGAUUUCUAAAAAAAUCAUACAUAAUUCCUGAAAGGGAGAAGACUCCAGAUAGCAGUUUGAAGUGGGUGAAUGUUUUUCUUAUUAUAAUCAGUCACUCUCAGGCUGAACAUGAAUAUUCUCCUUCAUUAGCUUCUGAUAGAAAAUAGAUGGUCUAGAAUUUGAAAAUCCUGACAGAUCUACAGUCCAUCACUCUGUCAUUUUACAUUCGUGGACUCACCCAUCUUGAUUCAUGACGGGGAAGGCUGUUGUUGGUUUAGCGUCCAGAAAACAGCAGAGAACGUCUCAAUUAGUUUAAGUUAGCCAUUAGCAUUAGCAACUCCUUCAAACUUGUGUUAAUCGUGGAUAUAAAACAUCACCGCUGCAAGUCAGUGGUAGAGUCGCGUUGCUGUUAUCCAAUCUGAGGUGAGAUUUCCAACGUUAAGAAACAUCAGGUCUGAGAAAUGUUGCACCGCUCACCCCCAUGAGAACAACUUAAAAAGCAUUCACUUCUAUUAACUCAUUCGCUGCCAGCCGUUUCCUGGUCAGUAAAGUCCUUCGCUGCCAGCGUUUCUCACCGUUUUUACUGUUUUUUUUAAGAGUCACAGAACGUUGCGCGCUAGGUUGAUGUCGACGCUAAAACAACCAAAACAAAGCGGAGACUCACCUCUUACAUCAGGAAGAAUCCGCAUGUUUCGAGCGUUAUCCAUUCUCUCAUAAUCCGUUGUUGAAUUUAGAUCGGCAGAAGCUUUUCCGGUUCGCGUCUCACCUUUUUUACAGCAGCUGCCGAAAACGAUCUAACACAUGGAUUUUCUGCUUCCUGACCACGUGACGUGUGACGUAUGCGGAUGAAGAUCGGCUUUAGAGCGGAGAUGUUUGUUCUCACGGUGCGGGGACUCGUUCUGACGCCUACACAGUAAAAACAUGCAAAUGACGACUUUAGUCGUCACUGGCACGGUUGGAUUUAAAAUGGCGACU